UACAGAGGUCUCAAGCGUUGUUCGGAUUCAUUGGGCGUAAAGGGUGCGUAGGCGGCGCGGUAAGUCGGGUGUGAAAUCUCGGGGCUUAACUCCGAAACUGCAUUCGAUACUACCGUGCUUGAGGACUGGAGAGGAGACUGGAAUUCAUGGUGUAGCAGUGAAAUGCGUAGAUAUCGUAAGGAACGCCAGUGGCGAAAGCGAGUCUCUGGGCAGCAUCUGACACUGAGGCACGAAGGCCAGGGGAGCAAACGGG
This 253-nucleotide ribosomal RNA is filed under the name uncultured bacterium. RNAcentral describes it as "partial 16S ribosomal RNA". It matches the Rfam family "Bacterial small subunit ribosomal RNA", at positions 524 to 776 of the family's 1533-position model. The record is from RNAcentral.